Molecule: long non-coding RNA, 1555 nt
Filed under: Capsicum annuum
Lineage: Eukaryota; Viridiplantae; Streptophyta; Magnoliopsida; Solanales; Solanaceae
Description: long non-coding RNA (CANN_LNC002474)
Source: RNAcentral
UCAGUUUCUCUUUGUUGUUCCCUUCUCACAUUUAUGCUUCUAUGGAUUAACCUUGAACCUUCUUCCUCAGCUAUGUCCAACUGAUUUUGACAUGGUAUCAGAUUCAGGCUCACCCAUUUCAUUAUUUUAGAUGUUGGGCCCCCUGUCUUAUAUUGUCCAUGCUCCAGAUGUCCAAUUCUGGGAGUGCGGGGGGUGUUGGAGUACCACAUCGGUGGGUUAAAGGGUCCUUGGUCUCCUUAUAUGAUCUUAGGAAAUCCUUCCCUCAUGAGCUAGCUUUUGAGGUUGAGUAAGGCCCAAGGUCCAUUUCUUUAUCAAUGACAAACACUGUAAAUUAAUUGACGACUAUUUACAAAUAUUCUUACAAAGACACCUAAAGGAUAGACAGGCGACAACUAAUCAAUUUAUUGCUAACAGAAAACAUAGCUACCAUGGUAGAAAUCCUCAAAUACAUGAUCACCUUAUCAUUCCAGUGUAUUUUUCUACUUUUGUUGUAGGUUAAAACGUCAACACAUCUCUAUUGAUAUGCCAUUAAUUUUGACCAUGUUGUUACUAAACGUUAAGCUUUUUCCUCAUUCAAUCUACUUUUUUUAACUUUACAUGAUAAUUUUCAUUUAGUAGUUACUCGGUGUGUUGUUUCUCCCUUAUUAAAUACACUUUAGAUGGAAAAAAUGUGAUUCAUCCUUUGCCUGUUUUCAAAAAAGAAAGCUCCAUAAAGUUGUAGUGCCUCCUUACAUUUAUGUGUCUCCUAAAAUUUAUUCUCAAUAGUAGUGAGAGCAUUUCUAUUAGUUCCCAAUAAUGUAAAGCUCCUCACGUUUCCACUUAUUACAUAGAGUAAGUUCUUAUGAAUCAAGUUUAACAUCAGGUGCUGCAACUAACUUAUGUACUCCAACACUUCAACAACAACAACAACAACAAACCCAGUGUAUUCCCACUUAGUGGGGUCUGGGGGGGUAAGAUGUACGCAGUCCAUACCUCUACCUCUGAUGAAGUAGAAAGGCUGUUUCCGAAAGACCCCCGGCUCAAGUCACGAGAUAUCACACAAAUACAUAGUACAGCACAGAAGCAGAUGACAUAACAUAGAUACGGCAGCCAUAAGGAAUAUAAAACAGAGUAAAGCAGGAAUUCAGGAAUAUACAGCGGAGGAAAGCACAUAUUCGUAAUAAACAUGGAACACGGAACACGGAACAUUGAAUACGGAAUCAUAACAGGAAUACACCCCCACCAAUUUAUUCCCUACCCUAGCGACCCGAACUGGCCCUAAUCCUCUGCCGUAAUUCGCAUCUUCCAGACCUUCCUAUCGAGGUUCAUGUCCUCGGUGAGCUGUAACUGUUCCAUGUCCCGCCUAAUCACCUCACCCCAGUACUUCUUCGGUCUCCCCCUACCCCGUUUAAACCCAUCCAACGCUAGCCUCUCACACCUACGGACCGGGGCAUCCAUGCCCCUCCUCUUCACGUGUCCAAACCAUCUCAAUCGUGCUUCCCGCAUCUUACACUCCACUGAAGUCACACCAACCUUCUCCCGGAUAGUCUCAUUCCGAGCUCUAUCCCUUCGGGUC